UACGUAGGGUGCAAGCGUUGUCCGGAAUUAUUGGGCGUAAAGAGCUCGUAGGCGGUCUGUCGCGUCGGCUGUGAAAUCCCGAGGCUCAACCUCGGGUCUGCAGUCGAUACGGGCAAACUAGAGUAUUGCAGGGGAGACUGGAAUUCCUGGUGUAGCGGUGAAAUGCGCAGAUAUCAGGAGGAACACCGGUGGCGAAGGCGGGUCUCUGGGCCGAUACUGACGCUGAGGAGCGAAAGCGUGGGGAGCAAACGGG
RNAcentral lists this ribosomal RNA (253 nucleotides) under uncultured bacterium. RNAcentral's name for it is "partial 16S ribosomal RNA". It matches the Rfam family "Bacterial small subunit ribosomal RNA", at positions 524 to 776 of the family's 1533-position model. The record is from RNAcentral.